This is a long non-coding RNA of Cynoglossus semilaevis (tongue sole), 1373 nucleotides long. RefSeq lists it as uncharacterized. The record is from RefSeq and is a predicted model, not a curated record. NCBI's taxonomy places the organism in Eukaryota, Metazoa, Chordata, Actinopteri, Pleuronectiformes, Cynoglossidae. The transcript has 2 exons.
AAAUGAGAGCAUCAAAAUCAUAAUUAAAUGAAGAAAAAAAAAAAUCCAAAUGUCAGGACAUGCGUCGGACACAGUGUUAUCUCCUGUACAUUCUUCAGUUUCUGCCAACAUCUACAAACUGCAUCACCAUACAGAGAACUGACCAUAAUUAAUAUUAAACACAUUUUCUUCAACAUAAUCCAAUAUAAGAAUAAAUUAGUGUGCUAGACCACGGAUCCUUCUAGAGAAACUACCCAGCCAGCAUCUGUUGGUGGGACACGUAUAGGUCCAGUACUUGAAUGCGGGUCACGGUGACCGUCUGUGCUUCAUACAAUCAGUCCAACCCUGACCACUUUCACCCAUGUGUGACCCACAUGAACAGUCCAUGUUGGCUGGGUGCUGACGACAGUAAAGAACAUUACAAUGUUUCAUGCAACAGUGAGAGAAAACGACACUAGAGAAAGUAUCAAACAUGCAGAGAGCAAAGAGUUUGGACAACUCUUGGUUUACCAUAAAAAAUAUUCUCGUGGACGACCGUCUCACAAAGCAGCAAAUUCAGAAAACUGAUACACGUUCAUCGACGUAAGGGAACUCAAAUAUAGUUUAAGGCACAAACAAAACCAAACGGAAAAAUAAAUAAGGAGCAUUUCUGGUCUUCAACAAAACAUGGUCCACAUGUGAUGUCUGUACAAAGUAGGGCUGUCAUUUUUUAACAAAACUAAGGUUAACCUGACUUCUGCUCGGACAUGUCUGAAUAAGUAAGGUAAAGCAGCAGAGGGCGCUGUAUGCGCAACUCGGCUUUUGUCCCUUUUUUCGAUCAUUAGUUUAAGUAGACAGAGACAUGAGUUUGUUUUUUGCUGUAGAAAUUGUAUUAGUAAAUGUAUUAGUUAUUCUGAGCAGCCAAAAUGACCCUAACGGAUCAAAGAAUUAUUUCCUUGGGUGGAACUCCUCAAAAGUGGAGGUAAAAAUGCACAUUGAAAAAAUUCAAAAACAAAAACAUCUUUAGUGAAGAUCGAAAAUAAAAUGGAUUUGGUGUAAGGUUGGUUAUAAAUCUGACUUUUACUCAGGUUAUCAAAUUCGUUAUUUUAAAAGGCAAAAAUACCUGAUCAAAUAAAGUAUUACGCAGCUUGAAGCUUGACAAAGAUGUUGGAGACACCCGAGAGACGUAGCCUAACCCUAAAGUUUUGGUAACUGAAAAUAAAAAUCCAGGCAGGUUUUGAAAUUACAACAUCUUUUUGACUUACACUUAGAUUAAUGAGCAUGUGCAAAAACAAAACAGCUAAUCAUACGCUAACGUAGGUCCUACAACUAACCUUCUAAUGUUCACGACGUCAUGUAAAUUUAAUGUGACCUUGAUCUUCAGGUAAAAUGACAGCCCCAGUCUUUAAGGUAAC